RNAcentral lists this ribosomal RNA (550 nucleotides) under uncultured bacterium. RNAcentral describes it as "partial 16S ribosomal RNA". It matches the Rfam family "Bacterial small subunit ribosomal RNA", at positions 355 to 896 of the family's 1533-position model. The record is from RNAcentral.
UGGGGAAUAUUGGACAAUGGGCGCAAGCCUGAUCCAGCCAUGCCGCGUGUGUGAAGAAGGCCUUCGGGUUGUAAAGCACUUUUGUCCGGAAAGAAAUCCUGUCGGCUAAUACCCGGCGGGGAUGACGGUACCGGAAGAAUAAGCACCGGCUAACUUCGUGCCAGCAGCCGCGGUAAUACGAAGGGUGCAAGCGUUACUCGGAAUUACUGGGCGUAAAGCGUGCGUAGGUGGUUUGUUAAGUCUGAUGUGAAAGCCCUGGGCUCAACCUGGGAACUGCAUUGGAUACUGGCUUACUGGAGUGCGGUAGAGGGUGGCGGAAUUCCCGGUGUAGCAGUGAAAUGCGUAGAUAUCGGGAGGAACAUCCGUGGCGAAGGCGGCCACCUGGACCAGCACUGACACUGAGGCACGAAAGCGUGAGGAGCAAACAGGAUUAGAUACCCUGGUAGUCCACGCCCUAAACGAUGCGAACUGGAUGUUGGGAGCAAUUAGGCUCUCAGUAUCGAAGCUAACGCGUUAAGUUCGCCGCCUGGGAAGUACGGUCGCAAGACUG